UACAGGGGGUGCAAACGUUGCUCGGAAUUAUUCGGCGUAAAGCGCGCGUAGGCGGCCACUUAAGUCGGAUGUGAAAGCCCCUGGCUCAACUGGGGAAGUGCACCCGAAACUGAAUGGCUUGAAUGCAAAAGAGGGUCGCGGAAUUCCCGGUGUAGAGGUGAAAUUCGUAGAUAUCGGGAGGAACACCGGUGGCGAAGGCGGCGACCUGGGUUGACAUUGACGCUGAGGCGCGAAAGCGUGGGGAGCAAACAGG
This 253-nucleotide ribosomal RNA is filed under the name uncultured bacterium. Its description in RNAcentral is "partial 16S ribosomal RNA". It matches the Rfam family "Bacterial small subunit ribosomal RNA", at positions 524 to 776 of the family's 1533-position model. The record is from RNAcentral.